AGGGCAGUAGUUCAAUUGGCAGAACGCGCCGCUCCAAACGGCGAAGUUGGGAGUUCGAGUCUCUCCUGCCCUG
This 73-nucleotide transfer RNA is filed under the name Beggiatoa sp. IS2. Its description in RNAcentral is "tRNA-Trp". It matches the Rfam family "tRNA". From Rfam's summary of the family: Transfer RNA (tRNA) molecules are approximately 80 nucleotides in length. Their secondary structure includes four short double-helical elements and three loops (D, anti-codon, and T loops). The record is from RNAcentral. Lineage: Bacteria; Pseudomonadati; Pseudomonadota; Gammaproteobacteria; Thiotrichales; Thiotrichaceae.